RNAcentral lists this ribosomal RNA (184 nucleotides) under uncultured bacterium. RNAcentral's name for it is "partial 16S ribosomal RNA". It matches the Rfam family "Bacterial small subunit ribosomal RNA", at positions 1317 to 1500 of the family's 1533-position model. The record is from RNAcentral.
UGCACGAAGCCGGAAUCGCUAGUAAUCGCAGAUCAGCAUGCUGCGGUGAAUACGUUCCCGGGUCUUGUACACACCGCCCGUCACACCAUGGGAGUCGGAAAUGCCCGAAGUCAGUGGCCCAACCGCAAGGAGGGAGCUGCCGAAGGCAGGUCCGGUGACUGGGGUGAAGUCGUAACAAGGUAUC